AGAGUUUGAUCCUGGCUCAGGAUAAACGCUGGCGGCAUGCCUAAUACAUGCAAGUCGAACGGAGGUGCUUGCACCUCAGUGGCGAACGGGUGAGUAACACGUAUCUAAUCUACCUUCUAGCGGGGGAUAACUUUUGGAAACGAAAGGUAAUACCGCAUGUGGAUAUUAUCAUCGCAUGAGAAAAUAUUCAAAGAUCCGUUUGGAUCACUAGAAGAUGAGGAUGCGGCGUAUUAGCUAGUAGGCGGGGUAAUGGCCCACCUAGGCGAUGAUACGUAGCCGAACUGAGAGGUUGAUCGGCCACAUUGGGACUGAGAUACGGCCCAGACUCCUACGGGAGGCAGCAGUAGGGAAUUUUUCACAAUGGACGAAAGUCUGAUGAAGCAAUGCCGCGUGAGUGAUGACGGCCUUCGGGUUGUAAAGCUCUGUUGUAAGGGAAGAAAAAAUAGGAGAGGAAAUGCUCUUAUCUUGACGGUACCUUACCAGAAAGCCACGGCUAACUAUGUGCCAGCAGCCGCGGUAAUACAUAGGUGGCAAGCGUUAUCCGGAUUUAUUGGGCGUAUAGGGUGCGUAGGCGGUUUUGCAAGUUUGAGGUUAAAGCCCGGAGCUCAACUCCGGUUCGCCUUGAAAACUGUAAGACUAGAAUAUCAGAGAGGUAAGCGGAAUUCCAUGUGUAGCGGUAAAAUGCGUAGAUAUAUGGAAGAACACCAGUGGCGAAAGCGGCUUACUGGCUGAUUAUUGACGCUGAGGCACGAAAGCGUGGGGAGCAAAUAGGAUUAGAUACCCUAGUAGUCCACGCCGUAAACGUUGAGUACUAAGUAUUGGGGAUUACCUCAGUGCUGCAGCUAACGCAUUAAGUACUCCGCCUGAGUAGUAUGCUCGCAAGAGUGAAACUCAAAGGAAUUGACGGGGACUCGCACAAGUGGUGGAGCAUGUGGUUUAAUUCGAAGCAACACGAAGAACCUUACCAGGGCUUGACAUCCAGUGCAAAGCUACAGAGAUGUAGUGGAAGUUAACAUUGAGACAGGUGGUGCAUGGUUGUCGUCAGUUCGUGCCGUGAGGUGUUGGGUUAAGUCCCGCAACGAACGCAACCCUUGUCGUUAGUUACUACCAUUAAGUUGAGGACUCUAACGAGACUGCUAGUGUAAGCUAGAGGAAGGUGGGGAUGACGUCAAAUCAUCAUGCCCCUUAUGUCCUGGGCUACACACGUGCUACAAUGGCCGAUACAAAGAGUCGCAAUCUCGUGAGGGGGAGCUAAUCUCAUAAAGUCGGUCUCAGUUCGGAUUGAAGUCUGCAACUCGACUUCAUGAAGCCGGAAUCACUAGUAAUCGCGAAUCAGCUAUGUCGCGGUGAAUACGUUCUCGGGUCUUGUACACACCGCCCGUCAAACCACGAGAGUUGGUAAUACCAGAAGUACGUUUCCUAACCGAAAGGAAGGCGCGUCCCAAGGUAGGACUAGCGAUUGGGGUUAAGUCGUAACAAGGUAUCCGUACGGGAACGUGCGGAUGGAUCACCU
This 1513-nucleotide ribosomal RNA is filed under the name Mesoplasma melaleucae. RNAcentral's name for it is "bacterial SSU rRNA". It matches the Rfam family "Bacterial small subunit ribosomal RNA". Lineage: Bacteria; Bacillati; Mycoplasmatota; Mollicutes; Entomoplasmatales; Entomoplasmataceae. The record is from RNAcentral.